CAGGAAACGUGAAGCUCGACUUGUUCCGGGCUGGCCCACAGAUCUGUUUAGGGAAGCACCACGCGCACACUAAGAACAUCGACCUUCCACGAGGGAGCUGGCUGCGGAGGGUGAAGCGCUGAACUCAGGAAUCCCUCCUCCAGGAGACGCCUGGAAAAGCAGUGCAGAUAUACCUAUUGAGAAGAUGGAAGACUUACUUUCAUCAUCUGAAUCAAAUCCAAAGAGUGUCUGACAUUUCUUUUGUGCAAGGCCAAGGUCUUCCAUGGGGCUACCUGAGGAUCUGCUGAAAGACCCAAUUUUCCUCUUAAGUUGGUCCAAAGAAGAGCAGCUCUAAGAGUCACAUGACUUGUUCAAAGGCAUCUAGAGUCACAGUCAUAAUAUGACCUCAAGCAGCGUCUGGGAUUGAGAAGUACAUAAAUCUAAUCAAAGCUAUCUAUAGAUGUCAAAGUUUUAUCUGAGUUCAAAAAGGAUGGCCAGUGGAUUUUAUCAAGUAAACAGAUAAAGAAGAGUCAAGCUUCUCAUUAUUUUGGGCAUAAAUCACUUUUUAGAAUGAGACAGAAGAAAAACUCAAUGGGAUUAUUACAAAUCCAAAGGCCUAAAGGGAUUUAAAAGGCCUAUUCCUCAAACACUUUGUUCAUGCUCAAGAAGAACUAAAUUGGUUUUAAAAAGAUGAUAUACUUACAAUUAAACUAACAGUGGGAGAAUUAAAAAUAAAUAAAAAGAGAUCAUGUAGUGAAGAUGGAAGAAGAAAGGGACUUCCUUAAGUUCACUCUUAGAAGCUAGACUAGACAGAUAUGAAAAAAGAAAAAGGAAAUCUAUAUACUAGAACUAUGUGCUUUGAAAGAUGGAAUUAACAGGGAAAGGUACUUUAGUUGUUACUCAUUAGAAAGGAAGGGUGACUUGUUCCAAACAUACCUAACAGAGGGAGGAGGUAAGUGUAGGAUGGAAAUUUUGGAGUGAACCAAACUGGAGAGCCACCCAUGGCAAGAUACUCUUUUAAAGCAAUAGUCUAUAAUAAGAACAUGUGAAAAACACACUUUGAAUAUACAGUAACAUAAAAUCUGUACAGAUUUGAAAGGUAAAAAAAAUAUCUGAAGGAUUCAGGUGCAUUUCAAAUUACUCGUUAUUACAAAGGCCAAUAUAUGGUAUGGUAUGGUACAACAAAGGGAAGUGCCCCAGGAACUCAAAGACAGGACUCAGAGAGUGAAAAAGGAAAAGCAAUACUGCAGAAAAACAAAAUAAGAGAACAGUACUACAUUUGAUGUUGAGCUGUUAAGAUUUUAAGUCAGGGAAAUGAGAGUGGACAAAAUCUGUCUGAUGAUGCUUUUUGAUGAACUAAGAAUUCCUUGACUUUCAUCUCUGACAUCAUAGGAGAGCUUACAAGAGACAAUCAAAGAAUAUUGAAACGAGGGCCCAAAAACAGAAAGGAAGAAAGGAGAGGCCAACUCAAGAGUAGGUUAAAAUAUAAACAAAAACAAAAACUAGCUGUGUUUAUCUGAAAUAGCAUAUCCUACUAUUGCAGAAAGAAAUGUGACAAAAAGGAACGUUUAUAUUGUCAGUGAAGCAGAACAAAUUUCUCAAGGCCUAAAACAGUUAAAAGCAGAGUAUUACAAGAGGUCUAGAGAAGCAAGUGGCAGAAGAGAUACUGAGUUCACUGGGCUCCUGAGUACAGACAUCAAAAAGAUCAAAAGCAGCUUCAUUUCAGGAACCCAUUUAUUUUUAUUACCCAAAUAACACAAAUAUGGAGCACAGGAGUGCUUUUAUAAAAGAUUUUAGUCCAACAGGCCUAAGAAUUUCAUGGGGAGUGGCAAUAGCCAAGGUAGCACAGGACUAAAAAUGUCCUGGCACAAGACUGGGGACAGAGAAAUCCAGAGGCAUGAGCAGAACAUUGGGGCUGUGGAGACUGCAAGGUUAGGUUCAUGGGCUGUGGAGACUGCAAGGUUAGGUUCGUGGAGACUGCAAGGUUAGGUUCAUGGAGAUUGCGCUUUGAGCUUUACACAGAACAAAUGGUACACUCUUUACAAGAGGCAGUAAAGAUGCUGUGCCACUAAAUAAAAUCCAAUUACUGCAGCAAAGGAAUGACCCAGGACAACACAAAGGAAAUGGAAAUUAAAAGCUUUUAAUAUGAAAGAAAUCUAAAGGAAGAGACAUAAAGUACAACCUGGUACCUGGGGCUGCCAUCCAUGGAAAUCUGUAAACAUUACAAGGCAGAAAUUCAAAUACAACUUUCAAUGAAGUAGAAUGUUCAGUUUGCCACCAGCGUUCCACUAUGGCUCUAACCAGAUGAUGCUGAUGGGGUCUCAUACCAGAGAACAUAUCCAUACUGAAUGGAGGACACUGCUGAAAUGAUGAGCUGACCUGUCAGAGAAAUAGGAAAUAAGCAAUCUGAGGUAAAGAGAGAAAAAAAUAAAAGAUGGGGAUAGCUAACAAGAUGAAAGUGGAAGUUAUCGAGUAGGAUUUAGGACAAGAUGUUUUUGGCAUACCCCAGAGAUACCCUGACCCUGUUCCUGCUACUUGGAACUCAGAUGUGGCUGGAACUCCACCAACCAUCUUGGACCAUGAGGCAACAUUGAGAUAAGACAAGGACGACUGAUAAGAAUGAGUAGGCAAUGAUGGUACAAUUAUGAUAAAGCCAUCAUAUCAUCCCUACACUCUCCAUUCAAGACUUUUCACAUAAGAAAUAAAUGACUACUACUGUUUAAGCUAUUUAAGUCAGGUCUCUAUUUAGCAGCAAAAUACAAUUACUGAUAUUUUAAGUCUUGUAAGACUUUUUUUAGUUUUACUUUAUUUAUUUAUUUUAAAGGUAUUAUUGAUAUAUAUACUCUUAUGAAGGUUUCACAUGAAAAACAAUGUGGUUACUACAUUCACCCAUAUUAUCAAGUCCCCUCCCAUACAACAUUGCAGUCACUGUCCAUCAGUGUAAGACUUUUUAAACUUAAGUGCAUGUAAAAAUUUAUAAAAAUUUAAGUAAAUUAAAAAAUAAUUCCAAUUAAUAGGAGGAAUUGUUAGAAAUGUAUUCUUAUACCAUAAUGAACUACUCAAAGCACCAUAAAUACUAUGUAAAUUCUAUACCAAGACUAAGCGACAAGGAUUAUAUUUUCCUAAAACAAAUUUUUAUCUCUCAAAGUAAGAGAUAUUAAAGCAAACUUGUUUUUCUGUUAGAUUGUCUCUUCAGUGCCUAUUAAGAUACCUAGUACACAUUAGUUGUUUAAAUAUAUUUGAGGACCAACAAAUACUUUUUUGCCAUUUGCAUGAGCAUUACAAAGUAUCCACUACAAGUUCCAAAGUGACAGUACAGUGGAAUGUCUCAACUUCUGCACUACUAAUAUUGUGGUCCAGAUAAUUCUUUGUUGUUGGGGCUGCCCUAUGUACUGUAGGAUGUUCAGCAGUAUCCCUAGCCUCUUUUCACUAGAUGCCAGUAGCAGCAUCUGCCCCUCCUCCAUUAAAAUAAUCAAAAACAACUCUAGAUAUCACCAUAUGUCCCCUACAGGAAACAAAAUCUCUGAGAAAAUGUCGUAUUUUGGUACAUCAUUUAGUAAUUAAUCAAGAGCAAAAUGACAGAGUUUUAGAACUGUAACAUUUCUAAGUUUUCUCUAAAGUUUACUGUGGGAUACAAACUGUAAGUGACCUACAGAUUAGAUUAUCUCUAAUAUCCCACUUAAACCUUCAGAGGAUUUUACAUGAGAGACAUAUUAAUAGCUUCCAUUUAAGCCUACCUAUGUACUAGGUAUAGUACUGAGCACUUCAUGCUCAUUUCCUCAUUUUAUACUCAUGACAUCCUCAUGGGAUGGCUAUAAAACCCACUGCAGGAAGAAACCAUUUUAUAUUUUAAUCAACAUAUCAAAGUGUUUCCAGAUAUACUUAUUUAUCUAUAGUACUAUAUUCAUUCUGGCACUGAACUAAGAAGAAAAUACCUUAACUUGCUUAAUUUAAUCAAUUUAUUAUCACAACAUUUCAAUUUAUCUAAGAACAAAAUAAGUUGAAUUAUUACAACGUUCAAGAUUUGGGGAAUGUUUGUAGCAACUAGAAAGUGUAAAAAAUAAUAAUUAUCUGCUUCUUGAAAUACUUUUUACACUGUGGCAUAAUGAAAGAGGACUUUUAAAAUUUUUCAUCCAUGAUUCCCUGAGUACUUCCAGUAACUUUGUUUUUCCCUUUCCACAAUUUGCCAAAAAACAUAAACACCUCACUUUAUAAUAUUUGAGGAUUAUUUGUAAUUUCAAUCUUUCAGUAGAAAUUAGUAGGAAAAAGCUGGGCUCAAAUCCUAGCUUGUCCACCACCAAAACUGAAGACAAUUUAACUUGUUCAAACAUCUAUUUCAAUAAUGUAACUUAGAUAAGACUUAUCUGAAGGCCUUAAGAGUUAGUAGACUCUCAAUAAAAAUUACUUCCCCUUCCUUUUAUCCUUAAAGCAAAUUAAAUAUAAUUUAAGAGCCAAUUCUACUUAAGCAUUUGUUGAGAGUCUACCAAUAAGAGCCAAUGGAGAUGUGAAGGGGCAGUAGACCAAUGUUACACCAUACAACUGUUUGGAAAUCAGCACUUCCAAUCUCCCAAAUCCAUCAACUCAAAAAUCAACUGAAGCUUAAGAGACUAUUCUCUUAGUUUAAGAUUCUAUAAUUACCGGUAUCAUUUCUCAAACAGAAAAGUUUAUCAUCAAAUGCAUUGAGUGUAUGCAUAAUUUAUCACAUUAUCUAUUAUCUUCUGCUUUACUUUUCCUUAUGGUAAAAGGACCUCUCUUAAAAAGAAGUAUUUCUUCCUCUCCCCCUUCACCCACACAACUAACUGCCAAGAAAUUUUAUUUCAUAUUUCUCUCUACAAUGAGGAAGAUAAAUUGGAGUCUUUCUUCUUAAUGCCACAAGCCUCUAUAUAUAAUUCGUAUUAUUUAGUUAACUGCCACCCACCCAAGUGCAUAUUACCCAUUUCAUGGAUUCCUCAUGAUUAAAAAGAAACAAUCUUUGAGAAUUAGAUUAUAUAAUCCACUGCUUCCCUUGCUGAUAUAUAAAACUGAACUACUAUACAGAAUUUUAUUAGUCAAUGAAUAAAAUUCCAAUUAAUACAAUCUUUUAUUCCAUCUUAAAAGUUUUAACACACAAAAAAAAGACUUCUCAAAGCUCACCUGCAAGGUGGAACCAGGACAGGAACCCUAAGAACAAGAUCUAUUAUUCAUCUAGAGUAUAUAAAAUAUGUAAUGA
Long non-coding RNA from Manis javanica (Malayan pangolin), 5188 nucleotides. RefSeq lists it as uncharacterized. The record is from RefSeq and is a predicted model, not a curated record. Lineage: Eukaryota; Metazoa; Chordata; Mammalia; Pholidota; Manidae.